Molecule: long non-coding RNA, 409 nt
Organism: Rhododendron vialii
Lineage: Eukaryota; Viridiplantae; Streptophyta; Magnoliopsida; Ericales; Ericaceae
Exons: 2
Source: RefSeq, a predicted model, not a curated record
UUGGUGGUGACUCCUAUGUCUGCUGUUUCUCGUAUUACUACUACUUUGCUUAACAAAUUUAAUGUGAAGGAAGUUGGUGCACUUGAGGAAAGGGUUGUUGACAUGGGAAUGCCUGAGGGCUUGAAGCUGUUGAAAGCAAGUUUGCAGUCGAAGACGAUUUUAGCAAGCGUCUUUCUCGGUAACACGGGCUGAGGAUUGAUGCAUACUCGAUCCUAUUGCUGCUGAGGAAACAAUGCACGCGCGUUAGACUUUGAUUCGUUCAAGGGUCUUGUGGUGGUCUAGAAUUUGGUUGUUUUUUCUAUGUACCAUCUUUUUUUGUUUAUUGAUGAUGAGGGUAUCUGGUGGUUUGCCCAAACUAUGUUCAUGAAGGAGGCUGCAAGUUUUAAUAUAUGCUUGACCAAUGCUGUAA